GCCGGGUGUGGUGGCGCACACCUGUAAUCCCAGCUACUUGGGAGGCUGAGGCAGAAGAAUCACUUGAACCCGGGAGGCGGAGGUUGCAGUGAGCUAAGAUCGUGCCAUUGCACUUCAGCCUGGGUGACAGAGCGAGACUCUGUCUAAA
Molecule: signal recognition particle RNA, 148 nt
Filed under: Nomascus leucogenys (northern white-cheeked gibbon)
Lineage: Eukaryota; Metazoa; Chordata; Mammalia; Primates; Hylobatidae
Description: Metazoan signal recognition particle RNA
Rfam family: Metazoan signal recognition particle RNA
About the family: The signal recognition particle (SRP) is a universally conserved ribonucleoprotein. It is involved in the co-translational targeting of proteins to membranes. The eukaryotic SRP consists of a 300-nucleotide 7S RNA and six proteins: SRPs 72, 68, 54, 19, 14, and 9.
Source: Rfam by way of RNAcentral